Molecule: ribosomal RNA, 253 nt
Filed under: uncultured bacterium
Lineage: Bacteria
Description: partial 16S ribosomal RNA
Rfam family: Bacterial small subunit ribosomal RNA
Source: RNAcentral
UACGUAGGGUGCGAGCGUUAAUCGGAAUUACUGGGCGUAAAGCGUGCGCAGGCGGUGAUGUAAGACAGGUGUGAAAUCCCUGGGCUCAACCCAGGAACUGCGUCCGAUACUGGAAGGCUUGAAUCCGGGAGAGGGAUGCGGAAUUCCAGGUGUAGCGGUGAAAUGCGUAGAUAUCUGGAGGAACACCGGUGGCGAAGGCGGCAUCCUGGACCGGUAUUGACGCUGAGGCGCGAAAGCCAGGGGAGCAAACGGG